RNAcentral lists this long non-coding RNA (1832 nucleotides) under Papio anubis (olive baboon). RNAcentral describes it as "lncRNA (ENSPANG00000048025.1)". The record is from RNAcentral. Lineage: Eukaryota; Metazoa; Chordata; Mammalia; Primates; Cercopithecidae.
UUAUUUUGCCUUGAGUUUUACAAAGCCAGUUAGCCAGUUUCUCUGCCGUCACUGUAGUCAGCAUAGUCGGUAGCACGAACUUCGUAUUGGGAUCCAUUCAGGGAAUAAAAAGGUACUACAUUUGCAUUGAGGAUGGGAGAAAAGUUUCAGGAGAGAAGCAGCAGGAGGAAGUGGGUGGGGAGGGAUUGAUGGAGGUGCUGGUGAUGAAGGUGGAACCAGAAGCAGUGCUGAAGGGGGGUGAAGAUGAGGACCUUUGAUGUUCUCUGUGGUCCGCCUGUUGCUCCCCGUCACAUGCUUUCUGAGUUAACGCUUCCCAUAACCGCGUGUGUUAGGCCGUCGCUGAUCUUUCACCAGCUCAGGGAGGUUAAUAGCGUGCCCAACUGCAAAUUAACAAGAGGCUGUAAAAGUUAGAAGUGCAUUCACCUGAUUAAGAAUAAAAAAGCAAAAACCACUUGCCCACAGUAACUUAAAACAAGUAAGAUUAAUUUUCCCCAAAACUUGAAAGUAUCUGGAGGAAAGAAGAUACUGGGGGUGAUCCAGUCCUUGGAAGCUACUGAGACUGAUAUUCCUGUUAUUCUACCGGAUUUUUCUUCAUGCAGGAGGUCUCACGGCCAUCAUACGGCCUCUGUAGCUCCAGACAUUACGUCUGAAGUCGAGGCAGGGAGAAGAGGGAGUGGCAGCAUGAGUCUUAACUGUUUCUUUUGUCAGGAAAGGCAAAUCCUUUCCUGAAGUCCCUAAAAUAGCACAUACUUUAUUGAUCUGAACUGUAUUGACAGCCACGCCUGGUGAUCAGUUUUUUGGGUAAAUAGGUAUUGAGCUUUCCGGGGGCUAAUGGGCAAAUGAGAGAGAAUAAAAUUGGUUACGCCUCUUGUGUUAGCCAACAAAUAGCAUAUGGCGGAGUGCCCGAGUGAGAAGGCAAACUGGCAUCUCCAGCCACGAAUGCAGGACUCUCUUUGUUCACAGAAUCUUCUUGUGGUGAGACUCCCAGCCUGCCUCCUGCAGAUGUGUCUCCCGUUCCAUCGAAGCAGCGCCUUCGAGUAAAGCGAGGUCUUUCUUGCAGGGUUGCCCCAGUAUUGGGAUCUGAUUUCUUCGCAUGGGGAUCAUACGGGGUAAUAGUCUCCUCUGCCCGCCCCCAUUUCCAUUUCCUCCUCCUUCUUUCUCAGUCUCCUACUCUCCUCCCGUGUCUCCCCUCCUGUCACUUCCUCUCCAUCCUCCUCACUCCCAUGCUCCUCCCUCACUUCCACUCUUUGGCCACAGCUCUGUUUCAGCCUAAUGAGGAGAGCGGUGGAGUCUGAAAUACUUCAAGGGGAAGAAAAGGUUAGAAGCAAAAUUCAAGAGGUUGAUUCUGUCAAGACCCUCAUCUGGGAUUCUCUGGUCUGGCAGAUUCAUUAUUUUGUGAAAUGAUAACUGAUUGCAUCUGAAGGAGCAUGAGAGAGUGAUUUAGAUCACUUCCAGCCCUGUCAGCAAACAAUAUCUCAGACAGCAUCGGAAAAUGAGACAGGGUAGCUGUGCAGCCAGGAACCCUCUAGACCGUCCCGUCUCACCCCGGUCAGAAAGGGCUUAGCGGCCAACACUAGAUGAUGCUUCUGAUUUAACACCACAUCGUUCAUUUGUUAAGGUCAUGAUUUACCUUAACUGUUUAUUUGGAUGAAUUUGGAUGAUUGUAUUUAUUCAUAAAACUACUGCAAAAAUGUGGUACAGAUUAUUUCCAUCACUGCAGCACGUUUGUUUGUACUGCUUCAUAGAACUGUUCCACUCCCAGAAAGAACCAAUAUUCUGAAUUCUAUCACCACAGAACAAGUUUGGCUGUUCUUCAACUUCAUGAAAGUGGA